CUUUUUUUUCUCCCUCUUUCCAAGACAAACUAGAUAAGAUGCAGAUUGGAUCAGGCGAAGAUGUGAAUGACCUCAACUAUGAUUAUGACAAUGAACAGUGCGUAGCACGUGGUGGAAAUUAAUGGAUGGGAUGGUGGACGGCGGAAGGGAUAAUGAUGCAGCGGCGGCGUGACUAAUGUGAACAGAACUCGAAACUCUAAAGGAACUAGACACUAAGACCAGCAACUAACACGACGAUGCAACCGAUAAUUCAACUAUGCAAGCAAUGAAUAGAAAAUUGCAUAGGCUCAGACUGGCUUGGAUAAAUGAUGAACAGAUCUAACUUUUUUAUGGAUUUUUCAUGGACUGUAGGUAUGAAUGACAGAUGCGAUCUAAACUAUGAAAAACUGUAAAAUCUCACCGAGCAACCUGAAAACUGAUACCACUUGAUAGAGGCGAGGGUCCCGAUCUUUCGAUGAGAUGAUAACUAUCGAUUUGGUGGAGACAACUUUGACAAUCCGACUACAAACGUGCACGACGUUGCGCCUUAGCAAUCGCUAAACCAAUCUCCUGAGGUUACUGACGAUGCUGGAAGCACGGUCAGCCUGACCACGAAGGUCUAUUCCUGCAAGCAAUCGAAGAACGAGCAAGAAUAUGAUAAAGCAAUCUGAAUAUUGCAAAUAUAUAUGAAGUAUUGAUAAUGGUGGGGAUCCGGAAGCGGUCUUGGUCUGACCGUUGGACACAAACGAAGUACACGAAGUUGCAAUGGCUAACUUUUAACUAAACAAAUCCCAAGAAAAAGCUACUAGAUGGAUCUACUUAUAUAGGAGCAAGGGGUGGCGGCCAAGGAGGUGGGAGGAUGUCCCAAGGCAGCCUAAAACUAAAUCUAGGUCGUACAAGGCCAAUGGGCCCAAGUGGAGGUGAUGUAACACCUUUGGACUUGUAGUUUGACUCGGAUUCUGCUGCAGCAUCAGAUUGUUUUGUCCACAACUCAACGCUCCGGACGAAUUUGAAGGUGAUUCCAAUUGGGUUGGAAAGUGCACGAAAUCUAGUUUCCAAAAAAAAGAAUCACCCAAUUCGGAGUCCGUAUGAAAAACUUGUGUGCGUUUUGAGUCAGGUAUGUCUGUGCAGUCCGAAUCUGAAUCCAGAACGUGAGAGACUUGGACUCUAUCUUCUCUUGGGCCAAAAGUGACGUGAGAGAACUUUUUGGACAGCAAAUAAACAUCUCUUUCUUCCUUAUCUUCAUAUGUGGAUUGUACAAAUGUCCCAUACACCUGCAAUUAGACAAAACAUAAAAGUGUGUGAAGUAUUUUUGUUCUGGAUAACAUAAAUAGAUUAUUGAAUAGUUUGCACUAGAAAUCACCUCACAAAUAUGCAUAUAUGCAAUAUUUUUGGUCAUAUCCAAGGUAGUCAUGUCCUCAUCAUCCUCCCCUUCUUGAAAAUAAAGCCGUCCUCGGCGUUGCUUAAUCUGAAAUGUGGCUAACAAAAGAGACAAGGUGUACAUGUUGUAUAUGUAUAUGUCAUCCAUUUUUACUUCCCUUAAUUUUUGCAUAUAUGACACAUGAAUAGAUGAGUAACUUGCAUAGUUCAUAAAAUCUAAAGCCAAAAAAUUAGCACAAGAAGUAGAAGGCAUGAAAAUAUUGCAACUCAGUUUGCACAUAUAAGUGAAGCUCUUAUUCAUUUCAAAAGAUUGACAAUGUUCAUCAUUAAACCAUCCCAACAUUGGUGAAUAAACCUUACUUGCAUCAAAUUUACAUGCUACAACAUGCUUAAAUAAGCAAACAUGCAAUAAGUCAUUCAACACAGAAUCAUCACCAAGAUUAGAGGUCAUAUCAAAAUGAUUAAACAUUGGUUCUUCUGCAUCAAUAGUUAAUUCAAUGGGUGCACUCAAAAUUGUUGGUAUUUCAGUUGUUUGAUCACAUGGCAAAGUCAAAUUAUCAACGUAGUCCUCUAAAAUAGGUGGUGUGAUCAAAGUAGUGGGUAGCUCAUCAGAUGGUGCAUUCAAAUUGACAAGGCAUUCAUCAUUCUCAUGUAGAGAUGGAAGAUCAGUACCUUUGUCAUUACCUCUUAUGAUCAACUCAGAUGAUGUAGCCACUCUCGGGGGCGGUGUGUCACAUGGCGUAGGUGAUGAAAUAAAGCCGUCCUCGGCGUUGCUUAAUCUGAAAUGUGGCUAACAAAAGAGACAGGGUCUACAUGUUGUAUAUGUAUAUGUCAUCCAUUUUUACUUCCCUUGAUUUUUGCAUAUAUGACACAUGAAUAGAUGAGUAACUUGCAUAGUUCAUAAAAUCUAAAGCCAAAAAAUUAGCACAAGAAGUAGAAGGCAUGAAAAUAUUGCAACUCAGUUUGCACAUAUAAGUGAAGCUCUUAUUCAUUUCAAAAGAUUGACAAUGUUCAUCAUUAAACCAUCCCAACAUUGGUGAAUAAACCUUACUUGCAUCAAAUUUACAUGCUACAACAUGCUUAAAUAAGCAAACAUGCAAUAAGUCAUUCAAAACAGAAUCAUCACCAAGAUUAGAGGUCAUAUCAAAAUGAUUAAACAUUGGUUCUUUUGCAUCAAUAGUUAAUUCAAUGGGUGCACUCAAAAUUGUUGGUAUUUCAGUUGUUUGAUCACAUGGCAAAGUCAAAUUAUCAACGUAGUCCUCUAAAAUAGGUGGUGUGAUCAAAGUAGUGGGUAGCUCAUCAGAUGGUGCAUUCAAAUUGACAAGGCAUUCAUCAUUCUCAUGUAGAGAUGGAAGAUCAGUACCUUUGUCAUUACCUCUUAUGAUCAACUCAGAUGAUGUAGCCACUCUCGGGGGCGAUGUGUCACAUGGUGGAGGUGAUGUAGUCCUAACAACAACGGAUGUGGUUGUCAUAGUAUGCCUAGUAGUUGAAGGAACAAUCAUAUCAACUCUUGGAAUGUGCACCGUGCGCUUGUUCUCCUCAUGGCCAACACGUCGUUUUAUUUCCUGUUCAGCUUUGCAAGCAAGAUGAAACAAAUAGUCCAUAGGAUAACACUCUUCAUGAAUUAGUAUCUCUUGAAUAUGACGGUUUAAUCCUCCCCAAAAUCUAUCCAUAAAAUCAUCUUCACUUUCUUCUAAAGAGGAAUGCAACAAGGUAGUUUGUAAAUCAUCAUAAUAUUUUGUUACAGUUUCACUACCUUGUUUUAAGUGUUGCAACUUCUUAAUCAUGUCACGAGUAUAAUAAGCAGGGACGAAAGUAUGUCGCAUGGCAAGUUUCAAAUCAUCCCAAGUAGUAGGUAUAUAAUCAGGGUGUAACCGACAAUAUUCACUCCACCAAACCAAAGCAUAACCAGUGAAAGAACCAACCGCAACCUUAACCUUUUUAUGUUCAUCGAAAUUAUGGGAAGCAAAUAUAUUUUUUAUGUCGAACUCCCAUUCAAUAUAUAAAGCAGGUUUAAAACGGCCAUUAAAUGGUGGUAUAGAUACAUUAACCUGAUCAUGUGCAUUUGGAUGUUUGUGCACCUCUCGUGAUGGUUGUGGUAUUUGCAAAGGUGGUGAUCCAGAAGCGGUCUUGGUCUGGUCGUUGGACACAAACGAAGCACACGAAGUUGCAAUGGCUAACUUUUAACUAAACAAAUCCCAAGGAAAAGCUACUAGAUGGAUCUACUUAUAUAGGAGCAAGGGGUGGCGGCCAAGGAGGUGGGAGGACGUCCCAAGGCAGCCUAAAACUAAAUCUAGGUCGUACAAGGCCAAUGGGCCCAAGUGGAGGUGAUGUAACACCUUUGGACUUGUAGUUUGACUCGGAUUCUGCUGCAGCAUCAGAUUGUUUCGUCCACAACUCAACGCUCCGGACGAAUUUGAAGGUGCUUCCAAUUGGGUUGGAAAGUGCACGAAAUCUAGUUUCCAACAAAAAAAGAAUCACCCAAUUCGGAGUCCGUAUGAAAAACUUGUGUGCGUUUUGAGUCAGGUAUGUCUGUGCAGUCCGAAUCUGAAUCCAGAACGUGAGAGACUUGGACUCUAUCUUCUCUUGGGCCAAAAGUGACGUGAGAGAACUUUUUGGACAGCAAAUAAACAUCUCUUUCUUCCUUAUCUUCAUAUGUGGAUUGUACAAAUGUCCCAUACACCUGCAAUUAGACAAAACACAAAAGUGUGUGAAGUAUUUUUGUUCUGGAUAACAUAAAUAGAUUAUUGAAUAGUUUGCACUAGAAAUCACCUGACAAAUAUGCAUAUAUGCAAUAUUUUUGGUCAUAUCCAAGGUAGUCAUGUCCUCAUCAUCCUCCCCUUCUUGAAAAUAAAGCCGUCCUCGGCGUUGCUUAAUCUGAAAUGUGGCUAACAAAAGAGACAAGGUGUACAUGUUGUAUAUGUAUAUGUCAUCCAUUUUUACUUCUCUUGAUUUUUGCACAUAUGACACAUGUAUACAUGAGUAACUUUCAUAUAUCAUAAAAUAUAAAGGCAAAAUAUUAUCAUAAGUAGAAGGCAUGAAAAUAUUGCAACUCAGUUUGCACAUAUAAGUGAAGCUCUUAUUCAUUUCAAAAGAUUGACAAUGUUCAUCAUUAAACCAUCCCAACAUUGGUGAAUAAACCUUACUUGCAUCAAAUUUACAUGCUACAACAUGCUUAAAUAAGCAAACAUGCAAUAAGUCAUUCAACACAGAAUCAUCACCAAGAUUAGAGGUCAUAUCAAAAUGAUUAAACAUUGGUUCUUUUGCAUCAAUAGUUAAUUCAAUGGGUGCACUCAAAAUUGUUGGUAUUUUAGUUGUUUGAUCACAUGGCAAAGUCAAAUUAUCAACGUAGUCCUCUAAAAUAGGUGGUGUGAUCAAAGUAGUGGGUAGCUCAUCAGAUGGUGCAUUCAAAUUGACAAGGCAUUCAUCAUUCUCAUGUAGAGAUGGAAGAUCAGUACCUUUGUCAUUACCUCUUAUGAUCAACUCAGAUGAUGUAGCCACUCUCGGGGGCGAUGUGUCACAUGGUGGAGGUGAUGUAGUCCUGACAACAACGGUUUUGGUUGUCAUAGUAUGCCUAGUAGUUGAAGGAACAAUCAUAUCAACUCUUGGAAUGUGCACCGUGCGCUUGUUCUCCUCGUGGCCAACACGUCGUUUUAUUUCCUGUUCAGCUUUGCAAGCAAGAUGAAACAAAUGGUCCAUAGGAUAACACUCUUCAUGAAUUAGUAUCUCUUGAAUAUCACGGUUUAAUCCUCCCCAAAAUCUAUCCAUAAAAUCAUCUUCACUUUCUUCUAAAGAGGAAUGCAACAAGGUAGUUUGUAAAUCAUCAUAAUAUUUUGUUACAGUUUCACUACCUUGUUUUAAGUGUUGCAACUUCUUAAUCAUGUCACGAGUAUAAUAAGCAGGGACGAAAGUAUGUCGCAUGGCAAGUUUCAAAUCAUCCCAAGUAGUAGGUAUAUAAUCAGGGUGUAACCGACAAUAUUCACUCCAUCAAACCAAAGCAUAACCAGUGAAAGAACCAACCGCAACCUUAACCUUUUUAUGUUCAUCGAAAUUAUGGGAAGCAAAUAUAUUUUUUAUGUCGAACUCCCAUUCAAUAUAUAAAGCAGGUUUAAAACGGCCAUUAAAUGGUGGUAUAGAUACAUUAACCUUAUCAUGUGCAUUUGGAUGUUUGUGCACCUCUCGUGACUUUGCAAAGGUGGUGGCACGUCUCCCGCGAUCGACAAAGCCCAUGAAUUGACUCUGGAUCCUGUCAUGAUUAGUAGAACAAGAAACAAAACCCAAAAAUAAUGUUCCUAUAACUACUAGGAUGUGGUGGUAAAACGCUCACAGUAAAGCAAAUAUCAAUGUCUUACAAGUUCUUACCAUGCAGCAGGCGGUGAUCGGCAACCAGCGGUGUCAAGUAACUCCGAAUAUUAAGUAAAGCGAUUGCCAGGGGAGCGUACGUAUACACGGUGUAGAAAUAUGUGGAGCUGGGUUGGCUAUAUAUGGUAGCAAAAGAUUAGCAAUAAUCAAUUCAAAGAUGCAAUGUUGAAUAAACGCUCAACGACGGUACUGUGCUGGUCCUAGGCUAGACCGGAUUAGAGACGCGAGCCUAGAACACUAAUGAGGUCACGGCGUAGCACAACUAGCAUCAAUGAAGGAUACUAAGUAGCUCUGGACAGCAAGAUAUAAGUGAAGAUCACAACGGCAGUAAAGAUAAUGAUGAAAAACAACUGUCAAACAGGAUAUACAACAACUCUCUCUCCAACUUUCCUCUUGAAAAGUUUGAGACAAUUUUCUGAUAAAUUCUUUCAAAGAAUGCUACUAACUCAAGCUUUCCAAUGCAAAAAGAAUCACUCAAUUCCGAGUUGAUAUGAGGAGUCAAAGAAUUCUAAAACUGGCCUAAAAAAUUGGAACAAGCUGCGUUCACGAACUUCAGAGGGCAAAAAGACCUAUUUAGAAGCCGAUUUUGAGGUGUCAAAUAUUGAACUAGCUUAUGCAACUAUUUAGAUGCGGCUCGUCGCUAGCUUCAAUUUGAGUACUCACGGAGCCAAAACGGACUUCGUAUGAGGAAGAUACACCUGUUUUACUGAACAGUGCGCAAAACAGAUUCCAAUCCGAAUUCAGGUACGAGAUUGAUUCUAGAUAGAUCCGAUUUUUUUUCUUCUCUUUUUUUUUCUCACGCUUUUUUUUUCUUUUUCUUCUCUCUCUUUUUCUUUUUUUUCCUCUUUUUUUUUCCUCUAUCUUUUUUUUCUCCCUCUUUCCAAGACAAACUAGAUAAGAUGCAGAUUGGAUCAGGCGAAGAUGUGAAUGACCUCAACUAUGAUUAUGACAAUGAACAGUGCGUAGCACGCGGUGGAAAUUAAUGGAUGGGAUGGUGGACAGCGGAAGGGAUAAUGAUGCAGCGGCGGCGUGACUAAUGUGAACAGAACUCAAAACUCUAAAGGAACUAGACACUAAGACCAGCAAC
RNAcentral lists this long non-coding RNA (6808 nucleotides) under Triticum aestivum (bread wheat). RNAcentral describes it as "long non-coding RNA (TAES_LNC014728)". The record is from RNAcentral. Lineage: Eukaryota; Viridiplantae; Streptophyta; Magnoliopsida; Poales; Poaceae.